UAAGCGACUAAGCGUACACGGUGGAUGCCCUGGCAGUCAGAGGCGAUGAAGGACGUGCUAAUCUGCGAUAAGCGUCGGUAAGGUGAUAUGAACCGUUAUAACCGGCGAUUUCCGAAUGGGGAAACCCAGUGUGAUUCGUCACACUAUCAUUAACUGAAUCCAUAGGUUAAUGAGGCGAACCGGGGGAACUGAAACAUCUAAGUACCCCGAGGAAAAGAAAUCAACCGAGAUUCCCCCAGUAGCGGCGAGCGAACGGGGAGCAGCCCAGAGCCUGAAUCAGUGUGUGUGUUAGUGGAAGCGUCUGGAAAGGCGUGCGAUACAGGGUGACAGCCCCGUACACAAAAAUGCACAUACUGUGAGCUCGAUGAGUAGGGCGGGACACGUGGUAUCCUGUCUGAAUAUGGGGGGACCAUCCUCCAAGGCUAAAUACUCCUGACUGACCGAUAGUGAACCAGUACCGUGAGGGAAAGGCGAAAAGAACCCCGGCGAGGGGAGUGAAAAGAACCUGAAACCGUGUACGUACAAGCAGUGGGAGCACGCUUAGGCGUGUGACUGCGUACCUUUUGUAUAAUGGGUCAGCGACUUAUAUUCUGUAGCAAGGUUAACCGAAUAGGGGAGCCGAAGGGAAACCGAGUCUUAACUGGGCGUUAAGUUGCAGGGUAUAGACCCGAAACCCGGUGAUCUAGCCAUGGGCAGGUUGAAGGUUGGGUAACACUAACUGGAGGACCGAACCGACUAAUGUUGAAAAAUUAGCGGAUGACUUGUGGCUGGGGGUGAAAGGCCAAUCAAACCGGGAGAUAGCUGGUUCUCCCCGAAAGCUAUUUAGGUAGCGCCUCGUGAAUUCAUCUCCGGGGGUAGAGCACUGUUUCGGCAAGGGGGUCAUCCCGACUUACCAACCCGAUGCAAACUGCGAAUACCGGAGAAUGUUAUCACGGGAGACACACGGCGGGUGCUAACGUCCGUCGUGAAGAGGGAAACAACCCAGACCGCCAGCUAAGGUCCCAAAGUCAUGGUUAAGUGGGAAACGAUGUGGGAAGGCCCAGACAGCCAGGAUGUUGGCUUAGAAGCAGCCAUCAUUUAAAGAAAGCGUAAUAGCUCACUGGUCGAGUCGGCCUGCGCGGAAGAUGUAACGGGGCUAAACCAUGCACCGAAGCUGCGGCAGCGACGCUUAUGCGUUGUUGGGUAGGGGAGCGUUCUGUAAGCCUGUGAAGGUGUACUGUGAGGUAUGCUGGAGGUAUCAGAAGUGCGAAUGCUGACAUAAGUAACGAUAAAGCGGGUGAAAAGCCCGCUCGCCGGAAGACCAAGGGUUCCUGUCCAACGUUAAUCGGGGCAGGGUGAGUCGACCCCUAAGGCGAGGCCGAAAGGCGUAGUCGAUGGGAAACAGGUUAAUAUUCCUGUACUUGGUGUUACUGCGAAGGGGGGACGGAGAAGGCUAUGUUGGCCGGGCGACGGUUGUCCCGGUUUAAGCGUGUAGGCUGGUUUUCCAGGCAAAUCCGGAAAAUCAAGGCCGAGGCGUGAUGACGAGGCACUACGGUGCUGAAGCAACAAAUGCCCUGCUUCCAGGAAAAGCCUCUAAGCAUCAGGUAACAUCAAAUCGUACCCCAAACCGACACAGGUGGUCAGGUAGAGAAUACCAAGGCGCUUGAGAGAACUCGGGUGAAGGAACUAGGCAAAAUGGUGCCGUAACUUCGGGAGAAGGCACGCUGAUACGUAGGUGAAGCGACUUGCUCGUGGAGCUGAAAUCAGUCGAUGAUACCAGCUGGCUGCAACUGUUUAUUAAAAACACAGCACUGUGCAAACACGAAAGUGGACGUAUACGGUGUGACGCCUGCCCGGUGCCGGAAGGUUAAUUGAUGGGGUUAGCGCAAGCGAAGCUCUUGAUCGAAGCCCCGGUAAACGGCGGCCGUAACUAUAACGGUCCUAAGGUAGCGAAAUUCCUUGUCGGGUAAGUUCCGACCUGCACGAAUGGCGUAAUGAUGGCCAGGCUGUCUCCACCCGAGACUCAGUGAAAUUGAACUCGCUGUGAAGAUGCAGUGUACCCGCGGCAAGACGGAAAGACCCCGUGAACCUUUACUAUAGCUUGACACUGAACAUUGAGCCUUGAUGUGUAGGAUAGGUGGGAGGCUUUGAAGUGUGGACGCCAGUCUGCAUGGAGCCGACCUUGAAAUACCACCCUUUAAUGUUUGAUGUUCUAACGUGGACCCGUGAUCCGGGUUGCGGACAGUGUCUGGUGGGUAGUUUGACUGGGGCGGUCUCCUCCUAAAGAGUAACGGAGGAGCACGAAGGUUGGCUAAUCCUGGUCGGACAUCAGGAGGUUAGUGCAAUGGCAUAAGCCAGCUUGACUGCGAGCGUGACGGCGCGAGCAGGUGCGAAAGCAGGUCAUAGUGAUCCGGUGGUUCUGAAUGGAAGGGCCAUCGCUCAACGGAUAAAAGGUACUCCGGGGAUAACAGGCUGAUACCGCCCAAGAGUUCAUAUCGACGGCGGUGUUUGGCACCUCGAUGUCGGCUCAUCACAUCCUGGGGCUGAAGUAGGUCCCAAGGGUAUGGCUGUUCGCCAUUUAAAGUGGUACGCGAGCUGGGUUUAGAACGUCGUGAGACAGUUCGGUCCCUAUCUGCCGUGGGCGCUGGAGAACUGAGGGGGGCUGCUCCUAGUACGAGAGGACCGGAGUGGACGCAUCACUGGUGUUCGGGUUGUCAUGCCAAUGGCACUGCCCGGUAGCUAAAUGCGGAAGAGAUAAGUGCUGAAAGCAUCUAAGCACGAAACUUGCCCCGAGAUGAGUUCUCCCUGACCCUUUAAGGGUCCUGAAGGAACGUUGAAGACGACGACGUUGAUAGGCCGGGUGUGUAAGCGCAGCGAUGCGUUGAGCUAACCGGUACUAAUGAACCGUGAGGCUUAACCU
Molecule: ribosomal RNA, 2899 nt
Filed under: Shigella flexneri K-1770
Lineage: Bacteria; Pseudomonadati; Pseudomonadota; Gammaproteobacteria; Enterobacterales; Enterobacteriaceae
Description: bacterial LSU rRNA
Rfam family: Bacterial large subunit ribosomal RNA
Source: RNAcentral